ACAAUGGCAGGUACAGAGGGAUGCUACCGGGCGACCGGAUGCGGAUCUCGAAAGCCUGUCCCAGUUCGGACUGGAGUCUGCAACCCGACUCCACGAAGUUGGAUUCGCUAGUAAUCGCGCAUCAGCCAUGGCGCGGUGAAUACGUUCCCGGGCCUUGUACGCACCGCCCGUCAAGCCAUGGGAGCCGGGGGCGCCUGAAGUCCGGGACCGCGAGGACCGGCCUAGGGCGAAACUGGUAACUGGGGCUAAGUCGUAACAAGGUAUC
This 265-nucleotide ribosomal RNA is filed under the name uncultured bacterium. RNAcentral describes it as "partial 16S ribosomal RNA". It matches the Rfam family "Bacterial small subunit ribosomal RNA", at positions 1227 to 1500 of the family's 1533-position model. The record is from RNAcentral.